RNAcentral lists this ribosomal RNA (292 nucleotides) under Escherichia coli. Its description in RNAcentral is "partial 16S ribosomal RNA". It matches the Rfam family "Bacterial small subunit ribosomal RNA", at positions 505 to 796 of the family's 1533-position model. The record is from RNAcentral. Lineage: Bacteria; Pseudomonadati; Pseudomonadota; Gammaproteobacteria; Enterobacterales; Enterobacteriaceae.
GUGCCAGCAGCCGCGGUAAUACGUAGGGUGCAAGCGUUAAUCGGAAUUACUGGGCGUAAAGCGUGCGCAGGCGGUUUUUUAAGUUGGAUGUGAAAUCCCCGGGCUCAACCUGGGAAUUGCAUUGGAGACUGCCAGGCUAGAAUCUGGCAGAGGGGGGUAGAAUUCCACGUGUAGCAGUGAAAUGCGUAGAUAUGUGGAGGAACACCGAUGGCGAAGGCGGCCCCCUGGGCUAAGACUGACACUCAUGCACGAAAGCGUGGGGAGCAAACAGGAUUAGAAACCCGAGUAGUCC